AUCUCCAGUCUCUUCUGGCUGUCCUCUCUGUGUGGCAGCUACUGGACUGUAUUUAUUUUUUGUGCUUUUCCUGUUCUUCUGGUAUUUCAACUUGUUCUAAUGACACCUUUUGAAAGCAUUUCCAGCUGGCUCACUUUCAGCACCCUUAAAGGAACAGCCAGACGAUCCUGGCCUCUUCUUGCCCAAAGGCAGCAGUAAAUCAGGACUGAUACCGUGAUUUGAUGCUUGACUGGCACAAAAGCAAUAGGGCUAAUCCUGUUCCAAAUAUCUUUGGAUCUAUUUGGCAGGGGAAAGGUCUCACAGCCCUAUUGAUGAUGGAGAUGAUCCUAUAGUCAUCCGUGGAAGUUCUUGUGGGGGUACGAAACAGUGAAGAGUGCAAUUUAGAAGGCACAGAUACACAUGGAAAGUAUGUACCUGGGAUCUCAGAUCUCAUCCCCACCCUGCUGCUUCCAACAUAUGAAACUAUUGUUGUGUUUCACUGGAAUUUAUGAAACCUUCAGCCCAGCUAAAACUUCACUUCUAAUUACAUGGUAUGAUUUUCUUUUUCUUGCCUGUCUCUAUUCCUGUCUACAGAUUGCGAAAAUCUGGAAAAUGUCACUCUCUCUCUUUCAUAAUUGCUAAGGCAUAAUAUGCUUUUCUACUUUAUGAGUUAAAUAUUUUUAAGUGCAAUCACUUAUUUGUUAAUAUCGGAAACAACUUGAUGUUCAGGCUGUGGAUUCAGGUCAGAGGUUCAUUUCUC
RNAcentral lists this long non-coding RNA (739 nucleotides) under Anas zonorhyncha (Eastern spot-billed duck). Its description in RNAcentral is "lncRNA (ENSAZOG00000000959.1)". The record is from RNAcentral. Lineage: Eukaryota; Metazoa; Chordata; Aves; Anseriformes; Anatidae.